This 364-nucleotide ribosomal RNA is filed under the name uncultured microorganism. Its description in RNAcentral is "bacterial SSU rRNA". It matches the Rfam family "Bacterial small subunit ribosomal RNA", at positions 9 to 367 of the family's 1533-position model. The record is from RNAcentral.
GAGUUUGAUCGUGGCUCAGAGUGAACGCUGGCGGUAGGCCUAACACAUGCAAGUCGAACGGCAGCACAGUAAGAGCUUGCUCUUACGGGUGGCGAGUGGCGGACGGGUGAGGAAUACAUCGGAAUCUACUUUUUCGUGGGGGAUAACGUAGGGAAACUUACGCUAAUACCGCAUACGACCUACGGUGAAAGCAGGGGAGUCUUCGGACCUUGCGCGAUUGAAUGAGCCGAUGUCGGAUUAGCUAGUUGGCGGGGUAAAGGCCCACCAAGGCGACGAUCCGUAGCUGGUCUGAGAGGAUGAUCAGCCACACUGGAACUGAGACACGGUCCAGACUCCUACGGGAGGCAGCAGUGGGGAAUAUUGG